Molecule: ribosomal RNA, 995 nt
Filed under: uncultured marine bacterium
Lineage: Bacteria
Description: bacterial SSU rRNA
Rfam family: Bacterial small subunit ribosomal RNA
Source: RNAcentral
GUCGAGCGGUAACAGGCAUAAAGACUCAGCUUGCUGAAUCCGGCGCUGACGAGCGGCGAACGGGUGAGUAACGCGUAGGAAUCUACCCAGUAGCGGGGGAUAGCCCGAGGAAACUCGGAUUAAUACCGCAUACGCCCUGAGGGGGAAAGGGGGCAGUUUACUGCUCUCACUAUUGGAUGAGCCUGCGUAAGAUUAGCUUGUUGGUGGGGUAAUGGCCUACCAAGGCGACGAUCUUUAGCUGGUCUGAGAGGACGAUCAGCCACAUUGGGACUGAGACACGGCCCAGACAUCUACGGAUGGCAGCAGUUAAGAAUAUUGGACAAUGGGGGCAACCCUGAUCCAGGUAUACCGCGUGUGUGAAGAAGGCCCUAGGGUUGUAAAGCACUUUAAUCAGUGAAGAAGCAUAUUGAGUUAAUACCUCAUUAUGUUGACGUUAACUGAAGAAUAAGGACCGGCUAACUCCGUGCCAGCAGCCGCGGUAAUACGGAGGGUCCAAGCGUUAAUCGGAAUUACUGGGCGUAAAGCGCGCGUAGGCGGUUUAGCAAGUUGUAUGUGAAAGCCCUGGGCUCAACCUAGGAACUGCAUCCAAUACUACUAAGCUAGAGUACGAGAGAGGAGAGUAGAAUUUCCGGUGUAGCGGUGAAAUGCGUAGAUAUCAGAAGGAAUACCAAUGGCGAAGGCAGCUCUCUGGCUCGUCACUGACGCUGAGGUGCGAAAGCGUGGGUAGCAAACAGGAUUAGAUACCCUGGUAGUCCACGCCGUAAACGAUGAGAACUAGCCGUUGGGCAGAUUUAACUGUUCAGUGGCACAGCUAACGCAUUAAGUUCUCCGCCUGGGGAGUACGGCCGCAAGGCUAAAACUCAAAUGAAUUGACGGGGGCCCGCACAAGUGGUGGAGCAUGUGGUUUAAUUCGAUGCAACGCGAAGAACCUUACCAACCCUUGAAAUCUAGCGAAGUUCACAGAGAUGAGAAUGUGCCUUCGGGAACGCUAUGAC